UGGGAAUCUUGGACAAUGGGGCAACCCUGAUCCAGCAAUGCCGCGUGUGGGAUGAAGGCCUUCGGGUUGUAAACCACUUUUGGCGGGGGCGAAAUAUCGAGUGCUAAUACCAUUCGGUGAUGACGGUACCCGCAGAAUAAGCACCGGCUAACUACGUGCCAGCAGCCGCGGUAAUACGUAGGGUGCAAGCGUUAAUCGGAAUUACUGGGCGUAAAGCGUGCGCAGGCGGUUAGGUAAGACAGGUGUGAAAUUCCCGGGCUCAACCUGGGAACUGCAUUUGUGACUGCCUGACUAGAGUGCGGCAGAGGGGAGUGGAAUUCCGCGUGUAGCAGUGAAAUGCGUAGAUAUGCGGAGGAACACCGAUGGCGAAGGCAACUCCCUGGGCCUGCACUGACGCUCAUGCACGAAAAGCGUGGGGAGCAAACAGGAUUAGAUACCCUGGUAGUCCACGCCCUAAAACGAUGUCGACUAGUUGUUGGACGGGUUACUGUUCCAGUAACGAAGCUAACGCGUGAAGUCGACCG
This 524-nucleotide ribosomal RNA is filed under the name uncultured bacterium. Its description in RNAcentral is "partial 16S ribosomal RNA". It matches the Rfam family "Bacterial small subunit ribosomal RNA", at positions 356 to 871 of the family's 1533-position model. The record is from RNAcentral.